UACAGAGGUCCCAAGCGUUGUUCGGAAUUACUGGGCGUAAAGCGCGCGUAGGCGGACCUGCAAGUCGGGGGUGAAAGCCCGAGGCUCAACCUCGGAACUGCCUUCGAUACUGCGGGUCUCGAGUCCGGGAGAGGUGAGUGGAAUUCCUAGUGUAGAGGUGAAAUUCGUAGAUAUUAGGAAGAACACCAGUGGCGAAGGCGGCUCACUGGCCCGGUACUGACGCUGAGGCGCGAAAGCGUGGGGAGCAAACAGG
RNAcentral lists this ribosomal RNA (253 nucleotides) under uncultured bacterium. RNAcentral's name for it is "partial 16S ribosomal RNA". It matches the Rfam family "Bacterial small subunit ribosomal RNA", at positions 524 to 776 of the family's 1533-position model. The record is from RNAcentral.